Molecule: ribosomal RNA, 447 nt
Filed under: uncultured bacterium
Lineage: Bacteria
Description: partial 16S ribosomal RNA
Rfam family: Bacterial small subunit ribosomal RNA
Source: RNAcentral
GACCAGACUCCUACGGGAGGCAGCAGUGGGGGAUAUUGCACAAUGGGGGAAACCCUGAUGCAGCGACGCCGCGUGAGGGAAGACGGUCUUCGGAUUGUAAACCUCUGUCUUCGGGGACGAAACUGACGGUACCCGAGGAGGAAGCCACGGCUAACUACGUGCCAGCAGCCGCGGUAAUACGUAGGUGGCGAGCGUUGUCCGGAAUUACUGGGUGUAAAGGGAGCGUAGGCGGGAGAGCAAGUCGACUGUGAAAUCUAUGGGCUUAACCCAUAGCUGCGAUCGAAACUGUUCAUCUUGAGUGAAGUAGAGGCAGGCGGAAUUCCUAGUGUAGCGGUGAAAUGCGUAAAUAUUAGGAGGAACACCAGUGGCGAAGGCGGCCUGCUGGGCUUUAACUGACGCUGAGGCUCGAAAGCGUGGGUAGCAAACAGGAUUAGAUACCCGCGUACC